UACGUAGGGACCGAGCGUUGUCCGGAAUCAUUGGGCGUAAAGAGCGUGUAGGCGGCCACUUAAGUCCUGCGUGAAAUCUUGCGGCUCAACCGCAAGCGGUCGUGGGAAACUGGGUGGCUAGAGUGCGGGAGAGGAGAGUGGAAUUCCUGGUGUAGCGGUGGAAUGCGCAGAUAUCAGGAAGAACACCCGUGGCGAAGGCGGCUCUCUGGGCCGAUACUGACGCUGAGGAGCGAAAGCGUGGGGAGCGAACAGG
RNAcentral lists this ribosomal RNA (253 nucleotides) under uncultured bacterium. Its description in RNAcentral is "partial 16S ribosomal RNA". It matches the Rfam family "Bacterial small subunit ribosomal RNA", at positions 524 to 776 of the family's 1533-position model. The record is from RNAcentral.